GCUCCGCGGCAGCGCAGCACCCACCCCCGCCCCCCACCCCGCCCCCCUGGGCCUCCUCCCCUCGCCGGCUCCCAGGCUUCGGCCCCGGCCCGUGGGCGGGUUGGCGGGCGGGCGUCUGGGCGGGCGGUCCCCCGCUCCUCGCGCUCUGGGCGUGCGAGCUUCGGGAGGAGCUGGACUGCAGCGAGGGUGCGUGUGUGGCCCCGACACCCUUUUCUCCGGCCCCACGCCCGCCCCGAUGCUGCGCGUCCCUGCCCUGGCCCUCGCCGGCAGCCACGACAGUGGUCGUGGAGCCAACCGGAGCCACCCUCCGGGCGAGGAAAGUGAAGUGGAAACAAUGUGAAAUUCACCAGCUCUGAAAUCAACAAGCUGCCGGCUCCAGUGUUACGGAGCCAGCACCAGCGUCUCCAUUUAAAGGGACAGCGCACCCAGUGGAAAGGAAAAUAAAUAAGUGACAGAGGUCUGCGCGCCUGUGUCACUUGCCAACCCGUUCUUGGGAAGACGCGCGAGUUAAAAGUUGAGUACCCACUAUUUGCCAGAUGGAGUGACAGCAUGUGACAGCGAUAGCCAAAAGACAUGGCUCCAGCAAUGGAGUUAGACUUACAUGACAAGGCAAGUUCAAUCUAAGUCAUAGUCCUUUAAGCAGUAUAGAGUCUCAGAGGUGGUUUUAGUGUUUAUGGGGUAUAUCACUAACACUUGGCCCAUUUGCUCUGAGAAACAAAGGUUAUCUUCCGCCCUAGUUCUCCGAAAUCUCUCUUCCCAUCGUCCCUGAUUUACAUCAGGUCUUUUUCACUUUCUUACCUGAGUUCUCAUGGCCAAGAAUACAAAUUGUUUUGUUAGACAUGGAAGGAAGUACAGGCUUUUCCAGACCUUCUCCUAUAAAAUGGUAAUAAUAAUAAUUCUUGUCUCACAGGAAUUAUUACAUGAGAUAAAGCAGGUCAAGCACUUAGUACAAGGACUGAUGGAGAUACAGAGGAAGUUGAAGAGAGAAAGAAAACAAUUAUCAGAAGAUGUUAAAGAGUGAGCCUUGAAAUAAAAAUGCAUCUCUCUAGGAUUUUGACAGAUGAACAAAGGUCAGUGGAGUCUACCAUCUAAAUAAGCAUUAAGAUCAGCUUUCCCUUUGCUGGCUCUUGAAACAUCAAACAGAACAGGGUAACAGCCUGCAUUUCCAAACUGCCGUCACACUUAGAGGUAGAAUUUGCCCCUCUACUCCCAACUCCAGAAUUUUAUUAGCAUGUGAAAUAAGUCUUCAUCUUGCUUCUCUGGAGCUGUUUGUUGUUAAAUACAGCUCUGAAGUUCUGUGGCAAAUUCUCAGCCAUGAAUAACUGGGCUGUGCAGAGCAUGCAUUAAAAAUAGCAAGCUCCACAUCCACAUGAUGGAUUAACAAAAUAUAAUUUUAAACAAAGAUUCUCUGGUCUGACGGAGAUUUAAAUAGCAGCCUAGGCUACAAGAUCUGGCCUUCUUGGGCAGCUGGAUUUUCAAUGAAAGUCUAACAAAUAGAAGUGGCCUGGGUUUUUUAUGAUUUGAAGAUACAGGCAGGAAAAAGAGAGGCAA
Callithrix jacchus (white-tufted-ear marmoset) is the source of this 1551-nucleotide long non-coding RNA. Lineage: Eukaryota; Metazoa; Chordata; Mammalia; Primates; Cebidae. The record is from Ensembl.